CCUACGGGAGGCAGCAGUGGGGAAUAUUGCACAAUGGGCGAAAGCCUGAUGCAGCGACGCCGCGUGGGGGAUGACGGUCUUCGGAUUGUAAACCCCUUUCAGUAGGGACGAAGCGCAAGUGACGGUACGUGGAGAAGAAGCACCGGCUAACUGCGUGCCAGCAGCCGCGGUAAU
This 174-nucleotide ribosomal RNA is filed under the name uncultured Dietzia sp. Its description in RNAcentral is "partial 16S ribosomal RNA". It matches the Rfam family "Bacterial small subunit ribosomal RNA", at positions 338 to 524 of the family's 1533-position model. The record is from RNAcentral. Lineage: Bacteria; Bacillati; Actinomycetota; Actinomycetes; Mycobacteriales; Dietziaceae.